CCUACGGGUGGCAGCAGUGGGGAAUAUUGGACAAUGGGGGCAACCCUGAUCCAGCCAUGCCGCGUGUGUGAAGAAGGCCCUCGGGUUGUAAAGCACUUUCAGUGAGGAAGAACGCCUGGUGGUUAAUACCCAUCAGGAAAGACAUCACUCACAGAAGAAGCACCGGCUAACUCCGUGCCAGCAGCCGCGGUAAUACGGAGGGUGCGAGCGUUAAUCGGAAUUACUGGGCGUAAAGCGCGCGUAGGUGGCUUGAUAAGCCGGUUGUGAAAGCCCUGGGCUCAACCUGGGAACGGCAUCCGGAACUGUCAAGCUAGAGUGCAGGAGAGGAAGGUAGAAUUCCCGGUGUAGCGGUGAAAUGCGUAGAGAUCGGGAGGAAUACCAGUGGCGAAGGCGGCCUUCUGGACUGACACUGACACUGAGGUGCGAAAGCGUGGGUAGCAAACAGGAUUAGAUACCCGGGUAGUC
This 465-nucleotide ribosomal RNA is filed under the name Vreelandella stevensii. RNAcentral describes it as "partial 16S ribosomal RNA". It matches the Rfam family "Bacterial small subunit ribosomal RNA", at positions 338 to 795 of the family's 1533-position model. The record is from RNAcentral. Lineage: Bacteria; Pseudomonadati; Pseudomonadota; Gammaproteobacteria; Oceanospirillales; Halomonadaceae.